RNAcentral lists this ribosomal RNA (435 nucleotides) under uncultured bacterium. RNAcentral's name for it is "partial 16S ribosomal RNA". It matches the Rfam family "Bacterial small subunit ribosomal RNA", at positions 28 to 507 of the family's 1533-position model. The record is from RNAcentral.
GAUGAACGCUGGCGGUAUGCUUAACACAUGCCAGUCGAACGGACUCUUCGGAGUUAGUGGCGGACGGGUGAGUAGCGCGUGAGAAUCUGGCUUUGGGUUCGGGACAACCACUGGAAACGGUGGCUAAUACCGGAUGUGCCGAGAGGUAAAAGAGAAAUUGCCUGAAGAUGAGCUCGCGUCUGAUUAGCUAGUUGGUGAGGUAAAGGCUCACCAAGGCAGCGAUCAGUAGCUGGUCUGAGAGGAUGACCAGCCACACUGGGACUGAGACACGGCCCAGACUCCUACGGGAGGCAGCAGUGGGGAAUUUUCCGCAAUGGGCGAAAGCCUGACGGAGCAAUACCGCGUGAGGGAAGAAGGCUCUUGGGGUGUAAACCUCUUUUCUUAGGGAAGAACAAAAUGACGGUACCUAAGGAAUCAGCAUCGGCUAACUCCGUG